This 425-nucleotide ribosomal RNA is filed under the name uncultured bacterium. RNAcentral describes it as "partial 16S ribosomal RNA". It matches the Rfam family "Bacterial small subunit ribosomal RNA", at positions 354 to 796 of the family's 1533-position model. The record is from RNAcentral.
GUGGGGAAUAUUGGGCAAUGGGCGAAAGCCUGACCCAGCAACGCCGCGUGAAGGAAGAAGGUUUUCGGAUCGUAAACUUCUAUCCUUGGUGAAGAUAAUGACGGUAGCCAAGAAGGAAGCCCCGGCUAACUACGUGCCAGCAGCCGCGGUAAUACGUAGGGGGCAAGCGUUGUCCGGAAUGAUUGGGCGUAAAGGGCGCGUAGGCGGCCCGGUAAGUCGGAAGUGAAAGUCCUGCUUUUAAGGUGGGAAUUGCUUUGGAUACUGUCGGGCUUGAGUGCAGGAGAGGUAAGCGCAAUUCCCGGUGUAGCGGUGAAAUGCGUAGAGAUCGGGAGGAACACCAGUGGCGAAGGCGGCUUACUGGACUGUAACUGACGCUGAGGCGCGAAAGUGUGGGGAGCAAACAGGAUUAGAUACCCUAGUAGUCC